GUCUACGGCCAUGCCACCCUGAACAAGCCCGAUCCCAUCUGAUCUCGGAAGCUAAGCAGGGCCGGGCCUGGUUAGUACUUGGAUGGGAGACCACCUAGGAAGCCCAGGUGCUGUGGGCA
RNAcentral lists this ribosomal RNA (119 nucleotides) under Pteropus alecto (black flying fox). The record is from RNAcentral. Lineage: Eukaryota; Metazoa; Chordata; Mammalia; Chiroptera; Pteropodidae.